UGAUCAAAGUGUGAUUUUUUUUUUAAAAAAAUGACAAAGAAUGUGUGUCGUUUGGACACUUUGAGCCCAAAAAUGACAUUCUUUUAGUUUUAAGGGAGAUUAUCUGCCUUCAAGUAGCUGCUAUCAUAUGGAUGGGGUGUGUAAUAUCCGACAGGGCCCAGUUAAAUGUGCAGUUUAGCUUUAUAUAUAUAUAUAUAUAUAUAUAUAUAUAUAUAUAUACACCCAUUAGUGAGGUGUUUUCUCUUCCAGCUAGCUUAUGCAGUGUGACGUGUUAAAGACAUUUCAUGGUGUGAUUAGACUGGACACACACACGCGCACACACACACACACACACACACAUACACCGGUGAGAAGUGCCAAGUCAGAUUUUAAAGGCUCACUGAUGUUUCUUUCUCACUUUCUCUGAUGAACCUGUGCUGCAGCAGCAGCAGCAGCAGCACCUGAUGAAGCAGCUUAACAUCUUCUCUGUCUGCACUGAAACAAAGCUUCCAUAGCAUCCUGUCUACAAUGGACUGAAGGUGAUCCAGAGAGCCAGUCACACUAUAAUGACAGCUGGGCAGAUGCAUGUCUACUUGUUCCUGACCCAAAGCUGCAUGCUCCCUCUUUGGAUCCAUCCUGCUCACCACCAAAGAGCCCAUCCAAACCUCCAUCAGGCACUCCAUCUCCUUCUGUACUUUUGUAGACACCCCCCCCAGUCUCUG
Molecule: long non-coding RNA, 701 nt
Filed under: Gouania willdenowi (blunt-snouted clingfish)
Lineage: Eukaryota; Metazoa; Chordata; Actinopteri; Blenniiformes; Gobiesocidae
Description: lncRNA (ENSGWIG00000000346.1)
Source: RNAcentral